GAGUUUGAUCAUGGCUCAGGAUGAACGCUAGCGGCAGGCUUAACACAUGCAAGUCGAGGGGUAUAGUUCUUCGGAAUUAGAGACCGGCGCACGGGUGCGUAACGCGUAUGCAAUCUACCUUUCACAGAGGGAUAGCCCAGAGAAAUUUGGAUUAAUACCUCAUAGUAUAACGACUCCGCAUGGAGCUGUUAUUAAAGUCACAACGGUGAAAGAUGAGCAUGCGUCCCAUUAGCUAGUUGGUAAGGUAACGGCUUACCAAGGCUACGAUGGGUAGGGGUCCUGAGAGGGAGAUCCCCCACACUGGUACUGAGACACGGACCAGACUCCUACGGGAGGCAGCAGUGAGGAAUAUUGGACAAUGGGCGCAAGCCUGAUCCAGCCAUGCCGCGUGCAGGAUGACGGUCCUAUGGAUUGUAAACUGCUUUUGCACAGGAAGAAACACCCCCUCGUGAGGGGGCUUGACGGUACUGUGAGAAUAAGGAUCGGCUAACUCCGUGCCAGCAGCCGCGGUAAUACGGAGGAUCCAAGCGUUAUCCGGAAUCAUUGGGUUUAAAGGGUCCGUAGGCGGUUUAGUAAGUCAGUGGUGAAAGCCCAUCGCUCAACGGUGGAACGGCCAUUGAUACUGCUAGACUUGAAUUAUUAGGAAGUAACUAGAAUAUGUAGUGUAGCGGUGAAAUGCUU
Molecule: ribosomal RNA, 681 nt
Filed under: uncultured bacterium
Lineage: Bacteria
Description: bacterial SSU rRNA
Rfam family: Bacterial small subunit ribosomal RNA
Source: RNAcentral